This 305-nucleotide ribosomal RNA is filed under the name uncultured bacterium. RNAcentral's name for it is "bacterial SSU rRNA". It matches the Rfam family "Bacterial small subunit ribosomal RNA", at positions 337 to 634 of the family's 1533-position model. The record is from RNAcentral.
CCCUACGGGGGGCAGUAGUAGGGAAUCUUCCAUAAUGGGCGAAAGCCUGAUGGAGCAACGCCGCGUGGGUGAAGAAGGUCUUCGGAUCGUAAAACCCUGUUGUUAGAGAAGAAAGUGCGUGAGAGUAACUGUUCACGUUUCGACGGUAUCUAACCAGAAAGCCACGGCUAACUACGUGCCAGCAGCCGCGGUAAUACGUAGGUGGCAAGUGUUAUCCGGAUUUAUUGGGCGUAAAGAGAACGCAGGCGGUCUUUUAAGUCUGAUGUGAAAGCCUUCGGCUUAACCGGAGUAGUGCAUUGGAAACU